UUAUUAAUGGCUCUCCUACUAGGAGCCUGACAUCAUGGUGAGCAUCGAGAAAGGAAUAACCUAAGCUGAAGACACGCCUUUUCAGGAGGCCAAGUUCCACGUUCUGUGCAUGCUUUUGGCGAAAGUCAGCAUAUCUGAAGGCCCUGACUCAACAGUAGUGGGUCUUAAUGCUUGUGCUUGUCCACCCUUCUCGGCAGUGAUUGAUUUCAUUGUUGGCUUGUUUUCAUGACUUGAAUGUGCGAUCUUCAGAGGGCCUAAUUCCUUGCAAGUUCCAUUUGAGGGUGGAAGAGCUAGAACAAGCUAUAACCAGUAGACAACUCCGUGACUCAGGAGCUUAAGCAUGUGACUAAUUAGUA
Molecule: long non-coding RNA, 356 nt
Filed under: Homo sapiens (human)
Lineage: Eukaryota; Metazoa; Chordata; Mammalia; Primates; Hominidae
Description: cancer susceptibility 19
Source: RNAcentral